Molecule: long non-coding RNA, 539 nt
Organism: Epinephelus fuscoguttatus (brown-marbled grouper)
Lineage: Eukaryota; Metazoa; Chordata; Actinopteri; Perciformes; Serranidae
Exons: 2
Source: RefSeq, a predicted model, not a curated record
CAGAUGGGGUCGUGUGGUGGGUUGUAUGGCUUUGAGAGGGAUGCAGGCAGGGUGGUAAGGUGUGCAGUUGGCACCAUGGACAGCGAACAGAGGCUGAUACAGGUGAUCAGUGCGAUGCGGAUGGAAAUCAGAAAGCUGGAGCUGGAGAACAUGGGUCUGAGGAGGACAGCUGGAGCUCAUCUCAGAAAGAAUGUAACUGUUCCCAUCAUGACACCAGAAUGCAGAGAGAGCGUCGUCAUGAAGGUGAGAAGAUACUCCAUCUUCCAGCCGCUGGUCACUCAUCGGAAUUUGCAGCUGGACGAUGCUAAAACAGCAACUGGAAAACAGCAAAGAUGAAAUUUAGCAUGAUAUUAAACUGUAAUUUACCUGACACUGACACAGAAUGGUCGUGUAACGUUGUGCUGUCUGUUUAAAAAGUAACGUUAGCCUGCUAGCUGUUGGGGAAGGCAAAGCUAGCUUAGCGCUAACUCUAUUUUAGCACUUGAAACCGUUAAACAAAAUAGUGCAUCACUGUCACCAAAUAAAGAAUUUUUUCUGCC